This 63-nucleotide transfer RNA is filed under the name bovine gut metagenome. It matches the Rfam family "tRNA", at positions 5 to 66 of the family's 71-position model. From Rfam's summary of the family: Transfer RNA (tRNA) molecules are approximately 80 nucleotides in length. Their secondary structure includes four short double-helical elements and three loops (D, anti-codon, and T loops). Further hydrogen bonds mediate the characteristic L-shaped molecular structure. tRNAs have two regions of fundamental functional importance: the anti-codon, which is responsible for specific mRNA codon recognition, and the 3' end, to which the tRNAs corresponding amino acid is attached (by aminoacyl-tRNA synthetases). tRNAs cope with the degeneracy of the genetic code in two manners: having more than one tRNA (with a specific anti-codon) for a particular amino acid; and 'wobble' base-pairing, i.e. permitting non-standard base-pairing at the 3rd anti-codon position. The record is from RNAcentral.
CUGUGGCCAAGUGGUAAGGCUCUGGACUCUGACUCCAGCAUCCAUAGGUUCGAAUCCUAUCAG